Non-coding RNA from Flavobacteriaceae bacterium TMED208, 28 nucleotides. NCBI's taxonomy places the organism in Bacteria, Pseudomonadati, Bacteroidota, Flavobacteriia, Flavobacteriales, Flavobacteriaceae. The record is from Rfam.
UAACCUCUGACGAUGAUCGUGAAUGUUG